CGUCUGUUUUGCAUGCAGAAGAUGUGGGGUAAUGUCCUGCAAGUCUUA
Molecule: transfer RNA, 48 nt
Filed under: Channa asiatica (small snakehead)
Lineage: Eukaryota; Metazoa; Chordata; Actinopteri; Anabantiformes; Channidae
Description: partial tRNA
Source: RNAcentral